Molecule: unclassified non-coding RNA, 329 nt
Filed under: soil metagenome
Description: partial contains 5.8S ribosomal RNA, internal transcribed spacer 2, and large subunit ribosomal RNA
Rfam family: 5.8S ribosomal RNA (bases 1-120)
Source: RNAcentral
GAUGAGGAACGUAGCGAAAUGCGAUAAGUAAUGUGAAUUGCAGAAUUCAGUGAAUCAUCGAAUCUUUGAACGCACAUUGCGCCCUCUGGUAUUCCGGGGGGCAUGCCUGUUCGAGCGUCAUUAUAACCACUCAAGCUCUCGCUUGGUAUUGGGGUUCGCGGUUCCGCGGCCCCUAAAAUCAGUGGCGGUGCCUGUCGGCUCUACGCGUAGUAAUACUCCUCGCGAUUGAGUCCGGUAGGUCUACUUGCCAGCAACCCCCAAUUUUUACAGGUUGACCUCGGAUCAGGUAGGGAUACCCGCUGAACUUAAGCAUAUCAAUAAGCGGAGGA